ACAAGGUCUCCGUUGGUGAACCAGCGGAGGGAUCAUUACCGAGUUUACAACUCCCAAACCCCUGUGAACAUACCACUUGUUGCCUCGGCGGAUCAGCCCGCUCCCGGUAAAACGGGACGGCCCGCCAGAGGACCCCUAAACUCUGUUUCUAUAUGUAACUUCUGAGUAAAACCAUAAAUAAAUCAAAACUUUCAACAACGGAUCUCUUGGUUCUGGCAUCGAUGAAGAACGCAGCAAAAUGCGAUAAGUAAUGUGAAUUGCAGAAUUCAGUGAAUCAUCGAAUCUUUGAACGCACAUUGCGCCCGCCAGUAUUCUGGCGGGCAUGCCUGUUCGAGCGUCAUUUCAACCCUCAAGCACAGCUUGGUGUUGGGACUCGCGUUAAUUCGCGUUCCUCAAAUUGAUUGGCGGUCACGUCGAGCUUCCAUAGCGUAGUAGUAAAACCCUCGUUACUGGUAAUCGUCGCGGCCACGCCGUUAAACCCCAACUUCUGAAUGUGACCUCGAUCAGUAGAUCCCGUU
This 518-nucleotide ribosomal RNA is filed under the name Fusarium oxysporum. RNAcentral's name for it is "eukaryotic LSU rRNA". The stretch from base 187 to 340 matches the Rfam family "5.8S ribosomal RNA". The record is from RNAcentral. Lineage: Eukaryota; Fungi; Ascomycota; Sordariomycetes; Hypocreales; Nectriaceae.